RNAcentral lists this ribosomal RNA (493 nucleotides) under uncultured Prevotella sp. RNAcentral's name for it is "bacterial SSU rRNA". It matches the Rfam family "Bacterial small subunit ribosomal RNA", at positions 39 to 507 of the family's 1533-position model. Lineage: Bacteria; Pseudomonadati; Bacteroidota; Bacteroidia; Bacteroidales; Prevotellaceae. The record is from RNAcentral.
GAACGCUAACGCUACAAGGCUUAACUACAUGCAAGUACGAGGGGAAACGAUGAGAGAGCUUGCUCUCUUAGGCGUCGACCGGCGCACGGGUGAGUAACCGCGUAUCCAACCUGCCCAUUACAGGGGAAUAACCUUGCGAAAGUAAGACUAAUGCCCCAUGGUAUUCUCAGCAGACAUCUAAUGAGGAUUAAAGAUUUAUCGGUAAUGGAUGGGGAUGCGUCUGAUUAGCUUGUUGGCGGGGUAACGGCCCACCAAGGCAACGAUCAGUAGGGGUUCUGAGAGGAAGGUCCCCCACAUUGGAACUGAGACACGGUCCAAACUCCUACGGGAGGCAGCAGUGAGGAAUAUUGGUCAAUGGGCGAGAGCCUGAACCAGCCAAGUAGCGUGCAGGAAGACGGCCCUAUGGGUUGUAAACUGCUUUUAUAGGGGAAUAAAGUGGACUACGUGUAGUUUAUUGUAUGUACCCUAUGGAUAAGGACCGGCUAAUUCCGUG